GCACUGCUGAGGAGUCCCAUAAUAGGACGAAACAGCAUUCCAGUGC
This is a non-coding RNA of Schistosoma mattheei, 46 nucleotides long. NCBI's taxonomy places the organism in Eukaryota, Metazoa, Platyhelminthes, Trematoda, Strigeidida, Schistosomatidae. The record is from Rfam.